CCUACGGGAGGCAGCAGUGGGGAAUAUUGCACAAUGGGCGCAAGCCUGAUGCAGCCAUGCCGCGUGUGUGAAGAAGGCCUUCGGGUUGUAAAGCACUUUCAGCGGGGAGGAAGGCGUUACGGUUAAUAACCUUGGCGAUUGACGUUACCCGCAGAAGAAGCACCGGCUAACUCCGUGCCAGCAGCCGCGGUAAUACGGAGGGUGCAAGCGUUAAUCGGAAUUACUGGGCGUAAAGCGCACGCAGGCGGUCUGUCAAGUCGGAUGUGAAAUCCCCGGGCUCAACCGGGGAACUGCAUUCGAAACUGGGAGGCUAGAGUCUUGUAGAGGGGGGUAGAAUUCCAGGUGUAGCGGUGAAAUGCGUAGAGAUCUGGAGGAAUACCGGUGGCGAAGGCGGCCCCCUGGACAAAGACUGACGCUCAGGUGCGAAAGCGUGGGGAGCAAACAGGAUUAGAUACCCUAGUAGUC
This 465-nucleotide ribosomal RNA is filed under the name uncultured Klebsiella sp. Its description in RNAcentral is "bacterial SSU rRNA". It matches the Rfam family "Bacterial small subunit ribosomal RNA", at positions 338 to 795 of the family's 1533-position model. The record is from RNAcentral. Lineage: Bacteria; Pseudomonadati; Pseudomonadota; Gammaproteobacteria; Enterobacterales; Enterobacteriaceae.